CUUUGCCCAGCUUCAAAUGUCUUCACCGAAUGGGUGUCUCAUGGCACCUUUCCAUAUGGCUUGCACUAACACAUAUUUCUCAUAAGAGUUGCUGCUCCUAUAUUUUUGCUGCAUGGCCACCAAAAAUAACAAGGUAUUUGGAAAAAUAUGCACGAUUCAUGACAAUCUCCUCUUUAAGAAUAGGCUGCUUGUCCUUCCACCUGCUUUACCUGCCUCUUGUCGGAUGAGGGACUUGCUGGAGGGUGUGCAAGCUGCUUCCUUCCAAAAGGCAUUAAGUUUUGGAGAAGAGGACAGGACAGAGACCAAGCUGGGUAAAUGCGCCCUACGUUUCCCUGCUGCUUCCUCUGUCCACUAUCCACAGGCUCCUGAGGUAGUCAGUGUGAACAAAGACUCGGUCUGAAUAUGAAUAUAAAAGUAGCUGAUACUUCCCAGCCUCACAGGUUGAAAAAACAACAGAGAUCCCCGCUGACAUCUAGAAGAGCAUCAGUCAGAAGAGUGACAGUAACAUGUCCAGUCUCAUCUGUACGCAUGUAUGACACGUCUUUUAUUUGGCCUACACAGAACAGGUUCUUCUCUCUUAUUUAGAUCUCUGGGAUAAAACAACUAAUUCUUUUUCCUUCACACCCAAUUAUUUUUAUGUAUACAGUGCCAUACUUAAUAGGCAAAAUGUGCCAAAAAUCUGCCUCCCUGAUUUUCUCACAGUCUGUACAAAGGCAGAUGUAUUGUAAGUUACAGUAUAGGUUGUGGCAUUUCUCACAAAUGGCUGAGCAUCUAGUCCUACAUCCCACUCACCUGUUUUGAUUAUGAAGUGUUCAAGUUACAAAUGCAUCAUUAAACAUUGCUUUCAUGACAUUAUUACCAGAACAGAUGAACAUAUAAUCAAAAUAGCCUUCACAUGGAUUAGCAGACCUUUGAAGAUGUUCAUGGUAAUUUCUGCAUCAUCAGAGUCAAGCAUAUGUUUACCUGAUUUCAGCUUUAUUUUAUUUUUUUCUGAAAGAAUAUUUAUAUGAGAAAAGCCUGUGAUGAAGAAAAAACCUUCACACCCUGAAAGGAUUGAGCAAAUAGCUGGAUUUAUCAACAGGCAGAGUCAAACACAAUAUUUUGUUUAGUUUUCUUAUUGAUUUUUUUCAGUUGAAUUAAUAUAGUUGGUAUUGUCUCAUACUUCAUAAUAUGGUUUAUUUAAUGUAAGUGCUCUUUAAGAGAUAGAGUGUCAGGAAGAGACUGCAAAUGCAGCCUUGUAGAUUUGGGCUAAGCAUGGUCUUAAUUUAACUGAUUCCUUAGCCAUCUCUCCUGUAGCUAAAGAAAAGGCACCGCAACAUUGCUUUAUUUGAUUGCAAGCUCUUCAGUAUCUUCCUCUGUGUUUGUGCGCUGUCUAGUGCCAUGGAGACUUCUCCACAGUUAAAGCCUGUGGGAUCUGCUACAAAAUAAAUAAAUGAGAAUAAAGGCAGUGAAAUGAAAGGCAUUUUGUAUGUGAAGUUCAUUUUCUCCCCUUCUAGAAAAAGCCAAUACAGGUAUAAAUGUUGACGCUUCCUCAGUCAGCCUUAGUCCUAA
Long non-coding RNA from Numida meleagris (helmeted guineafowl), 1551 nucleotides. RefSeq lists it as uncharacterized. The transcript has 3 exons. The record is from RefSeq and is a predicted model, not a curated record. NCBI's taxonomy places the organism in Eukaryota, Metazoa, Chordata, Aves, Galliformes, Numididae.